AAAAAAGCAAACCCUGGGUUUCCGUGUCCAACUUUGACUGUUCGUCUUAUAUGAAAAUUUUUUAUAAUUCGUAUUUUCAUUAUUGUUAGAAAAUAAAAUAUGAUUAAUAUUUUAUGCAUGACUUGUCUUUUUAAUUUUUUUCAUAUUUUUUUCAUACAAGAUGGACGGUCAAACGUUGGGCACGGAAAUCAGGGUUUAUCUUUUU
Molecule: non-coding RNA, 205 nt
Organism: Oryza nivara
Lineage: Eukaryota; Viridiplantae; Streptophyta; Magnoliopsida; Poales; Poaceae
Source: Rfam